Molecule: long non-coding RNA, 3478 nt
Organism: Microtus oregoni (creeping vole)
Lineage: Eukaryota; Metazoa; Chordata; Mammalia; Rodentia; Cricetidae
Exons: 5
Source: RefSeq, a predicted model, not a curated record
GGUUUUGUUGCAGAUGGACAAGGGACUUGGGUUAACACGAAGCAGGAUGUGAGUUGUCAGACAUGGAGAAGCAGGUAGUGAGUGUCAGGGCACGAGAGGAUGAGACUGGCCCAUGCGCAGAGCAGUACACAGGUCUCAGGCCGGGAGGCUCUGGAGCAAGGGCCACCUGCAGACACUUUUGGAGCCUUCAAAUGUGAUUCUUCGGGGUAGGCAGUGGCACAUGAUAGGAUGGUGACGGGUACAAGGACUUGUGUUCUGGUUGGAGACCAGCUGAGAAUCUGUGCAGGCAGUGUCAAGGGCACACAGGGGUGACUGCAAACGCAGUGUGUACCCACAGGAGUGUGCAGCCCGGCAGGUGCAGCCCGGCAUGGUUCCAGGCAGUCACUGUUUUUUUCCACAUCCUGAGAUCGUGCCAUUGUCCUGGCCCCAGGUGUAGAAACUGGAGAGUUCCUAGCCGUGGUCCUUGGUGUCUUUACAGGGCUACAGUGCACAGUCUGUCAAAAGAGGAAACUGAGGUACUAUUUCGUAAAGAGCCUGGUAGGAGAAGAUGCCCCGGGGUUACUGUAACGCCAGAUGCAAGUGUUCACAGACUGCAUUGGCUCCUAAACUGGGGUGCUGUCCUUUGUCUUUGAAAUGGGUGAAUGUGUGUAGGAGAGGUCUAUGGACAGCCAUUUAAAUCUCUGCUCUGUAGGUGCGGAUUAGGGGAAGUCGUGGGAGGAAGAGGAGAUUCGGAGUUUGCAGUGACUACAACUUUCCUGCAGGUCAUUGCUACACAGGGAAGUGAAGGAGAGAUAAGGAUUCCACAGGUUAAGACAGACAGAGGCCUGAUCCUUCAUCUCUGUGAGAAAGGGGCAGGGAAGAAACAGACUCAACACUGGGACAGGAAGCCAGGAUUUACGCAGGGUCAGACAGGCCACAGGGCGCUGGAGAGGCCCAUGCACACAGCUUCUAGGUAGUGCCACUGAUUUUACUUUGAUGGUUUAUUUAUUUAUAUUUUAUUAUAUUUUGAGACAAGAUCUUGUCAUGUAGCCCAGGUCAGUCUUGAGUUGAUGCCUACAUGGUAAGAGCACCUUUGCAAGAGAUGAUGUUCUGAGACAGUCCACACCGGGACGGUAGAAGACUGUCCGCCUCCUGUGGUGCUGUCUAUCCUGAGGUCCUCCUGACCCCUGUCCCCUGUUCCUCUGGUGCCUCUUAUUCUCUUUGACUUUAAGAAAAGCAGGGUGAAUAGUAAGAGUGGACACAGAUGGCUUUGUGUCCACAGAUGGAGUAACUUUUGCCACCGUUCAGCCAUGACAAGUUCUUACGUUCCAGGGUAGGGUGUGUAGAUUAGGAAUGUUAGGUAGGAGGAACACGGAUGUGAAAGAAAUACAGAGACAUAGGAUAGUACUGGGAGGGCAACUCGGUGAAUAGUGAAUAUUGAAUUCGCCUGUGUUUAAUUUUCAUACACUUUUAUACCCCUAUACAGAAGUGGGGGAAGAAAGCAAAAGACAGCUUUACCAUGACACAAAGGACAACCAGAACAGUUGCUUGCUUCAGUACUUGAGACAUCAAGCCAUUAUUUCCUGAGUAAAGCAUUUAGCGGCAGGAAUAUGCAGUGAACACACCUUAGACCAAGUAUCCUGUAGGCAGCCACUCACAAUAUCAAAUCCUCCUAUUUUAAAAGAAGGAGCAAAGAAUAGGCUUGAAUUCUCUGACCUUUGGUCAGAGUGGAGCAGAUCCACCUCUAUGGGCCAUCUUGGUGUCCAAAACACCAAGCAACCACACCUGACGUCAACAGCUUUGAAAGAGCAAACAUAAGCUCAAACUCUCUGACCUCCAGUCAAGGUGGAACAGGCUCACAUCUGUGGGCCUGCAUGUGAGUGUGUGAAUGCGUGUGGGCGUGUGAAUGUAUGUGUAUGUGUGCAUGCCUGAGAGUGUGUGAGGGGAUAGGACUCACCAGCAGACCAGAGCACAGGGUCAGAGAGCUUCCAGGUGAGGUGGGGCCAGAGGAUGCUUCAGCCGGACUCCUGUCAGCCUUCACAGCUGGAACAACAAUCCUGGUGGCGCUCGCUCACCGAGGAGCCAAGAGCAGCCUCUUUAGGAGUGCUGCCUUGGCAUACCCUGGAAAGCUGUGGAAUACACAAGUCCAGGCCUCAGACAACAGAGGUUCAUGACUGCCUGGCUCCUGGCUGACCACAGUUCCUUCUGCUCGCCUCUUAACGACAGGGGGCUGGGGCUGAGGCUGGGACUGAGCACAUGGCUGGAAGUUACGGAGAAAAACACGUGCCUGAAGAACCACUGUGAGCGGCCGGCGUGAGCUGGGGUCCCUGGAGCCUUCUGAACUGGGGGCCGUGAAAGGCUCCCCUGGACUUUACCAGUUUGGAUGUCAGUUUUGCCAGUUCCUUGUCAUGUGACAUGGAACUUUCCUGAAAGUGGGGUUGGGGUGCAGUUUGUAUGUAUAAAUGGAGAGCUACAAUACCCACUAACUAAAUCACAUCAUUAUUGCUAUUAUUCUAUUUCAAGUGGAAGCAGAGGGUUGCAAAGUUCAAUCUGAGGCCAGAUAAGCCACUGGAUGGAAAAUGAGUGUGGGGUCAUGGGACCUGGGCAGGGCCCCAGUGUGAGAAAAACAGGUCCCGGGGUAGCAGAUCCAGCCCAGGUCUCAGCCUCCACCCUGUGUGCGGCAACCGAGAAGCCCCUUUGCUUUUCUCUUCCUUUCUUCCCUCUUUACUUUUAUUAGCCUUUUUCAUGGUUGGGGACUGAAUAACCUAGGACACGGCACAUGGCCUCUGCCACAUUAGCUCUUUCCAUUUUUAUUCAUUUUUAUUUUUUAGACAGAGUCUUUUACUAACUCUCCCAAGUCAGUCUUGAACUAGUAAUCUUCCUGAUUCAGUCUCCCUAUGAGCUUGGAUUACAGGCCUGGCUAACAAUCUAAGUUUUCAACAACAACAACAAAAAUCCUUCCACGAUCAAGGUUAGGCUUGGCAUGUUCAAAAGUCCUUUUGCGAUCACCCAGAAGUUUCUCCCCUUCUUUUCCAAGCUAGUGGCCAUCUGCCUGCAAACAGGUAGACACCAUGGGAACAGAAGGCCCAUAGAAACAGGCAGAGUGGCAGUUGGGCUCCCCUGGCUAGCCCUGUCAGUAGCAUGUCGUCUCACUGAACUUCCCCUUCACGCUCAGCAGAUGGCGACCGUGUGCUAGUGCUGCUGAUUCCCUGAUGCCACGGAAUUGCUUGCAAGGUAUCACCGCAGGUGCUUUCCUUCAGCUGGAUGUCGGAGCUUGGUGCUGGUCCCUGGACAAAGAGAUGCUGGGGAGGUAGCAUCUCCCUACCUUGGGCUCCUCACUCUUCAUCUCUGCACCUGCAUGGAAGGUGUCUGAAGUUCCAGGAGGAGACGAGCCUGGAGAAAGAAGACCCCAAGAAUGGACACAGUUCCCUUCUCCCUCUCAAGGUUUUCCUUCUGCAAGAACCUAAAUCAGGGUCUUCCAGCGUGUUUAUUGACAUGG